RNAcentral lists this ribosomal RNA (476 nucleotides) under uncultured bacterium. RNAcentral's name for it is "bacterial SSU rRNA". It matches the Rfam family "Bacterial small subunit ribosomal RNA", at positions 28 to 507 of the family's 1533-position model. The record is from RNAcentral.
GACGAACGCUGGCGGCGUGCCUCAAACAUGCAACCGUCGAGCGGACGGAGACCGAACCGCAAGGGAGGUUGAAGUUAGCGGCGAACGGGUGAGUAACACGUGGGUAACCUACCCUAAAGUCUGGGACAACGGCCCGAAAGGGCCGCUAAUACCGGAUAAUGUCUUCGGGUCGCAUGGCCUGGGGAAGAAAGCCGAAAGGCGCUUAUGGAUGGGCUCGCGUCCCAUCAGCUAGUUGGUAAGGUAACGGCUUACCAAGGCGACGACGGGUAGCCGGUCUGAGAGGGUGUCCGGCCACACUGGAACUGAGACACGGUCCAGACUCCUACGGGAGGCAGCAGUGGGGAAUUUUGGGCAAUGGGGGAGACCCUGACCCAGCGACGCCGCGUGAGGGACGAAGGCCCUUGGGUCGUAAACCUCUUUUGCAGGGGAAGAAGAAGAUGACGGUACCUUGCGAACAAGUCCCGGCUAACUACGUG